CUCAACUUAAACAAGAAGACAAAGUUAUCAAUAUCCCCCCCCAACGGUAAAAUACUCUUUAGGAAUAUGUCUACUAUUUAUGAUUAUGUCAAAUGUUUUGGAAUGUAUACAGCAAAGUGGAAGGAGAGUAUUGAAAGGUUUUUAAGAUCUGCU
Long non-coding RNA from Haliotis rubra (blacklip abalone), 153 nucleotides. RefSeq lists it as uncharacterized. NCBI's taxonomy places the organism in Eukaryota, Metazoa, Mollusca, Gastropoda, Lepetellida, Haliotidae. The transcript has 3 exons. The record is from RefSeq and is a predicted model, not a curated record.